GACGAACGCUGGCGGCGUGCUUAACAUAUGCAAUUCGAACGAUGAAGCCGGAGCUUGCUCCGGUGGAUUAGUGGCGAACGGGUGAGUAACACGUGAGCAACCUGCCCUUGACUCUGGGAUAACUGCGGGAAACUGUAGCUAAUACCGGAUACGACACCUUGGGGCAUCCCAGGGUGUGGAAAGAAUUUCGGUCAAGGAUGAGCUCGCGGCCUAUCAGCUAGUUGGUGAGGUAAUGGCUCACCAAGGCGACGACGGGUAGCCGGCCUGAGAGGGUGACCGGCCACACUGGAACUGAGACACGGUCUAGACUCCUACGGGAGGCAGCAGUGGGGAAUAUUGCACAAUGGGCGAAAGCCUGAUGCAGCAACGCCGCGUGAGGGAUGAAGGCCUUCGGGUUGUAAACCUCUUUUAGCAGGGAAGAAGCGAAAGUGACGGUACCUGCAGAAAAAGCACCGGCUAACUACGUGCCAGCCGCCGCCGUAA
This 483-nucleotide ribosomal RNA is filed under the name uncultured bacterium. RNAcentral describes it as "partial 16S ribosomal RNA". It matches the Rfam family "Bacterial small subunit ribosomal RNA", at positions 28 to 523 of the family's 1533-position model. The record is from RNAcentral.